UGGCCCCACAUCUAUGGAGAAUGCCUUU
RNAcentral lists this non-coding RNA (28 nucleotides) under Homo sapiens (human). Lineage: Eukaryota; Metazoa; Chordata; Mammalia; Primates; Hominidae. The record is from RNAcentral.